UACAGAGGGCUCAAGCGUUGUUCGGAUUCAUUGGGCGUAAAGGGUGCGUAGGUGGCGCUGUAAGUCGGGUGUGAAAUUUCGGAGCUUAACUCCGAAACUGCAUUCGAUACUGCGGUGCUUGAGGACUGGAGAGGAGACUGGAAUUCAUGGUGUAGCAGUGAAAUGCGUAGAGAUCAUGAGGAAGACCAGUGGCGAAGGCGGGUCUCUGGACAGUUCCUGACGCUGAGGCACGAAGGCCAGGGGAGCAAACGGG
Molecule: ribosomal RNA, 253 nt
Filed under: uncultured bacterium
Lineage: Bacteria
Description: partial 16S ribosomal RNA
Rfam family: Bacterial small subunit ribosomal RNA
Source: RNAcentral